This 444-nucleotide ribosomal RNA is filed under the name uncultured bacterium. Its description in RNAcentral is "partial 16S ribosomal RNA". It matches the Rfam family "Bacterial small subunit ribosomal RNA", at positions 339 to 795 of the family's 1533-position model. The record is from RNAcentral.
CUACGGGAGGCUGCAGUCGAGAAUCUUCCACAAUGGACGAAAGUCUGAUGGAGCGACGCCGCGUGCGGGAUGAAGGCCUUCGGGUUGUAAACCGCUUUUAUAGAGGAAAAAUUUCGAUGAUGGUACUCUAUGAAUAAGAGGUUGCUAACUCUGUGCCAGCAGCAGCGGUGAAUACAGAGACCUCAAGCGUUAUCCGGAUUUAUUGGGCGUAAAGGGUGCGUAGGCGGAUAUAAUAGUCAGGUGUUAAAUUACUGAGCUCAACUUAGUAACCGCACUUGAAACGUUAUAUCUAGAAACAGGUAGAGGUUAACGGAACUCAUGGUGUAGUAGUGAAAUGCGUUGAUAUCAUGGGGAACACCAAAGGCGAAGGCAGUUAACUGGGCCUUGUUUGACGCUGAGGCACGAAAGCGUGGGUAGCGAACGGGAUUAGAUACCCUUGUAGUC